AUUGAACGCUGGCGGCAUGCCUUACACAUGCAAGUCGAACGGCAGCACGGGAGCAAUCCUGGUGGCGAGCGGCGAACGGGUGAGUAACACGUGAGGAACCUGCCCCGAAGACCGGGACAACACCGGGAAACCGGUGCUAAUACCGGAUGCCUUCACCGGAUCGCAUGGUCUGGUGAAGAAAUGGAUUCCGCUUCGGGAUGGCCUCGCGGCCUAUCAGCUUGUUGGUGAGGUAAUGGCUCACCAAGGCGACGACGGGUAGCUGGUCUGAGAGGAUGUCCAGCCACACUGGGACUGGGACACGGCCCAGACUCCUACGGGAGGCAGCAGUUAGGAAUCUUGCGCAAUGGGCGAAAGCCUGACGCAGCGACGCCGCGUGCGGGAUGAAGGCCUUCGGGUUGUAAACCGCUUUCAGCAGGGACGAAAUUGACGGUACCUGCAGAAGAAGCCCCGGCCAACUACGUGCCAGCCGCCGCGGUAA
This 478-nucleotide ribosomal RNA is filed under the name uncultured bacterium. Its description in RNAcentral is "partial 16S ribosomal RNA". It matches the Rfam family "Bacterial small subunit ribosomal RNA", at positions 29 to 523 of the family's 1533-position model. The record is from RNAcentral.